This is a non-coding RNA of Podarcis lilfordi (Lilford's wall lizard), 72 nucleotides long. NCBI's taxonomy places the organism in Eukaryota, Metazoa, Chordata, Lepidosauria, Squamata, Lacertidae. The record is from the annotation of a GenBank genome assembly.
UCCUGGGGUAGCUCAGUCAGUAGAGCAUGAGGCUCUUAAUCUCAGAGUCGUGGGUUCAAGUUCCAUUGGGCA